GAAGAGGGAAAAAAAACAACAACGAUCAAUGCAGGAGUACACACAUCCUCACUGAGCUGUUGUGGUUUAUUAAUAAAUGACAUUUCAGGCAGAAACCAACUGGGUGGGGGGUGGGGCAGCAUUAUACAAUUUUUUAUUUAUAACGGGUAAGAAACAGGUUAGAAAAAAAAAACAAUCACACUGCACUGCAGUACAAUAAUCUGUGAGACAUCAUGUUAUCUGUGUAAAUGACAUAGAAAACCAUUAUCACUAAAAGGCUAAAGCAGGAAUGAUAUAUGUAGUCUCUGCACUGUGGUGUCAGUUUAUAUGUGAAUUUUCACUGUUACUGAACUUUAAUAUCUCCAUUUAUCUCUAGUGCAGUCACUUAUUUCCCAGCUCUCAGUUCCUCUGCAUUUACUGCAAAUCAGUAAACGUGGCAUUCAUUUGAUUGGUGUCACACACAAAAAAACAAAAGUCAUCAGUAACGUCACAUUGUGCCUUCAGGUUUUAUGAUUUUUCAAAUUGGGUUCCAGUGCAUCAGUAACUGAAUUACAGGAGAAUUUCAACAUUGCUUUAUCACCCUGUCAUAAUGCAAAACUGUAUAAUAACCAUAUAACGUAUAACCAACUGCAAGCAAGGACAAACUGUCCUGGCAUUAGAAGCAGACAUAAAAAGUUAAUAAAUCAUUCAGUUAAACAGCAGAUAAUAUAUUACUGUAAUACUGUUAGUUAACAGUUUUGAUCAUUUCAAGGCAACAGCCACAGAAAGCACCACUCCCCCCUGUCACGUGUAAAUCUGUGCUUCUUUUCUUUGAAUCCUGCUAGCUUGAAAACACAACAUCACUACUUUCUAAUGUUCUACACUUAAUGACUGAAUAUAGUAAAGAACAAAAAAACAAACUGCGGUUUAGUCUGCUGAGACAGUGACACGAUUUGAGUUGUGACACUAUAACUUGUGUUUUAUUAACACUACUUCCAGUGUUUCCACAAGUGUCUAAUGAUUUCUUCUACAAAACUCUGCCAAAGGAGGGCCAGAGAGGGGCUUUCCCUCUCAUAUUAUUACUGAACUCGUGUACCCAGUUCACUGUACACCAGUGCAGCUGUGGUGCAGAAAAAUGUAGCUGCACAUGCCAGUUAUAGUUAAAAAAUAAUAAAAAAUAAGCCCUAUUCCAUAAAUGUACAUACAAAGUAGCCUUUAACAGUGCUUAAAGGCAGUUAUUCCUCCAAGAGAGGCAGAUUGUUUUACAUAACUGAAAGGGAAUUUAGGGGAAUCCCAGCCACCCUCUGCUUCCUGCCGAGGGUCCUAAUGAUAACAUAACGGCCUGCUGUUUAGGUCCACUUCCUGUUUCAUCUCUAGAAUGGCCUCCAGUUUUAUUUAGCAGACCAAAUAAACUUGGUUAGGUUGCUGAUCUUGUUUUGUGGACACGUACAAAAAAAGCAUACAAGUGCACAUGAUGUUCUCAUUUUGAGCUCCAAGUGUUUAUUACUACAUGAUUCACAGUUCAAAAUUAUCGUUAUUCAUCUUAUACCAGGCCUUUCAGUUCUUCCGCUGUCUGAAAAGAACAAUCUCCAUUUCCCUUUAUGGCAACUUGCUUCUGAUAGGUUGCCCCUCACAAACUAAAGAUUUAAACAGUAGAUUAAAAUAAAAAUCAAAGUAUCCAUAAUCGCCGUAGACUAGAGUUAUCAGCAUGCAUAUAACUAGGAUAUAGGGUCUUUUUUAGUUAUUGUUACUGUCUUAAAAGUUUUACUUAAAUACCCCACUUGAACCUGUAAAAGCAUUUACAGGUGCUAAUAAAAACUGUUUGCUACAAAUAUACCUUUAUAUAAAAGACACACACAGUCUCCCUGACUUUAUUAUACUCCUGAGCUCUGACCCUCCUCUGUGCCAGCACUGUUAUUGUUUUAUUGCCACAAGAGCUGUUUCAGUGGCCACCCAGAACGUGCACACUGACACUCACACACACACACACACACACACACACACACACACACACACUACACCCAUGUGCCAACCAGCUUGCAGUUACCAGGCCAUGUAAACAACAUGUUUGGCAGAUCAAAAAUAGAAAGCCUUUAUCAUCCUCGCUAACGCAGCUUCUCGCGCACUGCUUCAUGACCUGCUUCCUCCACAGUGUCCCUGCCUCAGUUUAUGACCGGAAAAACAACAACCUACUGUUCCUCGGGAGAAGCAGAGGUGGAGCCCUGUUUAGGCAGGAGCGUCGCCACCUAAAAAUAAGAGCCAGGGCUGGGAGGGCAGGGCGAGCAUCUGCUUGACUAAAUAACCCUAAAUCAUCGGGCCUGAACAAUGGAAGAAAACAGCUUGGCAACACAGAGGAGCGGCGUUAUAUAACACCGAAUUUAUUUAAGUAUGACUGAGCUGGGAUGGGCAUCUCGAGGAAAAUUACUGUUUGAUAUAUGCUAGGAACUAUCUGACCAUUCUUCAAAUUAACCAGCUUCAUAAAAACAUCUUUCGUUCCCUUUUUCAUUCUUCACGGUGUUACUGGAACUUUGAAUACAAACUUCCAAUUUUCCCAUAAACAUCCUCCAAGCCUUUUUUCCCCCCUUAACACUUAAACAAAAUAUCCAACAUUUUCGGCUCUUUCAUAUUUAACUGGAAGUUGUUUUACAAGUUUCCCAGAAUGGAGAGUCACAGGCUCCAUGAAUCAGCUAUGAGGAAUAACAGCUGCAGUGACACAUGGAUAUUGGACAAAACAAAAUUGCUAACAAGACAAAUGUGGGGGAAAAAAAAAUGUUUUCCUUGCUGAUGACCAGAACUCAGGGCAACUUGUGGUAUCUAAUCAGCCCUGAGCUCCACCACCCAGGAUGUGCAGACUGUGACACAUAGUCUUGGCACACAAACAGCCAUCAUAGGGAAAAGUCAAAGAAAACAGUGACAGGAACACCAUUAUUCCCCUUGGGACUGUAAUCAAACCACCUUGCCCCCUAAGAGUGCUGCGGCUUGCAGGUUAGUCCUGCUAAUGUGCAGGUUCCAAGCCGGGCCGGGCCAACCUGAGCCAGAGGUUCUCUGAGAGGCAAACCGUUAUGAAAGGUGAGCGCGUCCACUGUGCCGACAGGAAACGCUGGCUCAUGUCUCUGAGGCCGCUUCCUGCAGUAAAGAGACACCCUGGAAUGCUGAAGUGACCUCUGUGAUCCUUCCUGUGCUGCCGGGAUUUCUUAAGCCUCACGGUGAGUGUGUGAACUCAGGUAAAAAACAAUGCCUCCUUUUCAUUCGGCUCAGGAAUGAAAAAUGAGGAUUAAAAUGCUGACACGUGACCUUUGUGCUUGUCUGCUGAGACCUUUGCAACUGACUCACUCAUCCAUAAGCACACACAUAAGCAGGUACAAAUAUACACCUGCAGUUAGCAAUGCGACAAUACAUUUCACCAGCUUUAAACAGAAAGACUCGAACAUCGCGCGUCGUCCUUGCAGGAGACCUUGGACAGAGCCGGGGACGUAGACGAUAUCGACCCACAGGCAUGGGGAUCUGCUUCAAAAUCACAGCAGCUGUCUUCUCUGCCAGGAUGUCUCAGUGUGGAUCUGACAGAUUAUUAAACACCUUCACACUGACAAAAGCUUCAGCAGCGCCCAGACCUGUCAGUGUCACUACUGCUACAGUGGAACACACAAUCACGCAUCUAUAUACACACACAGAAGUCUUCCAUACCAAAUUUGGGAUAUACCACAUGAUAUUAGCACAGCUAGGCUUUGUUUUGUCUCCAGACAACAAGUGUUAUGCUUUAUGUGCAGAGCAUUAGAGUGGGGAGAAAAAAAGAAAACAUCAGACCUGCCACCUGCAGAGGUAAACUCUCACACAUCCUACAGAGAUUAAAGGCAUGGCUCGGGUGAAGUGUACCGAGGCAACAGGUUAAUGUGUGUUUUCUCUUCAUGUGUAUUAAGUAGCAGAUUAACUCAAGGACAGACUAACACUGCAAGACCUGCUGAGACCGGCGUCUUCAGGCCAGGGUUCAAAUCCAGCUGGUCCUUGAACAAGCAACGGGCACACACUUAAGUAAGCAUGUCCUAAAUUCAAAAUGCAACAAAAGGUGAAUAAAUGUAACAAAAAAAAAAAAAUCCAUACACCUCUGAUUUCCAUGAAUAUGGUUAUAAACUGAUCUAUACAACCUUUUAGGCCUUUUGACCUGUGGCUCAUAUAACGUACAUCUGCAGAGAUCCCAUUAAAGGGGAAUUUUUUUCCUUCCCACUGUUGCCAAAUGCAGUGGAGUCGUCUGAUUGUUGGGUUUUCUCUGUAUUAUUGUAGGGUCUCACCUUACAAACUUAAAUACCUUGUGAUAGGUGAUUGUUGUUGUGGUUUGGCACUAUAUAACUAAAACUAUUUACCAUUACCUUAUUAUCUGCCACCUCUGCUGUUGUGGAACUUACCCACAGAUUUCAUUCAUCCAUAGACAGGGGUUGUUUUUUUGGUUUGGUUUUGUAUUUUUGUCUCUCUAACAAGAGAAAAACAGUUAUUUGAUUCAAUUUAAAAUCUUAUAAUUUAUAUUUUGUGAGUCUACCCAUGCAUUUCUUUGCAUUUCUUGGUGAUUAUUAAAAUGAAAGUUAAUUAAGAUGAGAUGCAAGUAUAACUGCACAGGUUAACACAGUCACCUGACAUACAAACAAAAAAUAAAAAAAUCCCCUGGUUUGAAACUGUGACGAAACAAAACCCAAUGUACUCCCAAUGCCGGUUCCAAGCCCGGAUAAACAGGAGUGUUCCAUCAUAAAGGGCAUGCAGUACCAAAUCAAAUGUGUGGAUCAGUUCUUGCGCUAACCCCUUGGAAAAUAAGGGAGCGGCCGAAAGUGUCUUUUCUUUGUGAAGGAGCUGCUUGCACAUGUGCAAACAGCUUGCACAAUUGCUCUUGUGCUUUUCAGGCAACAGUCAUUGUACAACAAUUUAACAUUUAAGUGAGACCGCACAGGGGGUGCAUGUAGUCAUACGCAUGUUGACAUAAAAUGUGUCUGCAUGGGAGGUUUGCAGUUGUGUCAUGCGCAUUUAAGUAAAGUAGGAUGGGAACCAUGCGAGUAUUAGAUUGGCUCAGUUAGGGAUAGUAAUAGUUAUUUGAUAUCUAAGAAUAUGAGAUACUUCACUUAGUUCUGUGAGGUAAACUUGCUAAGAUAAAUGAAACUACUUGAAUGGGUUAACAAUCUAGAAAAAAAAAAGAGUAAAAUACUAGCUUAUAUUCCUGGAAGUCGAAUCUGUUCAGACAGCCAAUGUUUCGAAACAGAAGCACAUGUUACUGCUGCAUUAAAGCGACAACCUUCAAGACAGCAGACUGUGUGUAUAAGUGAAAGUAGCAGCAUAAGAAGUGCUACAGCACAGAGGUCUGGCUAUUGGUAGCAGAUAUACAGAUGGAGAGACGGGGAGGAAUAACAGACAGCGAGAAGCCGUUUGUGUUCAAAACAGAGCCAACAGAAAGAGGUUACCAUGGGGACGGUUGUUAUGAGGAAGCAGUACAGAUCUCCCGUUGAUGGGACGGGACUGAGGCAGACUCUGUGGUCACAGCAGCCCGGCCUCGUCCACUCUCGCUCUCUUCAAGACUGUUUGAGGAGAAACGUACGGCUUACUGGCAGCGACCGCUCGAAAGACGCCUGGGCUGAGCCUGCGCUGGAGCUACGUAAACCUCAUUUCGUGUAUGUGUGUGUCCACAAACACAGAUGAGCUGAAGUUAUUUCCAGUCUAACCAAAGACAUUCCUCAGAAAUAUCAAGCGUGUGCGUGUGUCUGAGUGCCAUGCAGGCAGGCUGAAAGCUAGGACGUGCUUAUCCUGUUUCAAAGCUGUGCUCAGGGUCUGGUUACAUUUUGCAAGUGGCGACCCUAACCGACCACCUCCAUGUAACGUUAACCUUUACACUUACACACACAGAGCCCGUUUCAGCCUCUCUGGAUUUUUCCGCCCAGCUGAGUGAUUUUAAGCCAAAUUCUGCAACGGAUGAAACGUCAUCCGUUUGUUUCCAUUAAUCUAACCGAGGCAAACAAACGCUCCUUUGAUGAGACAAUGUCUCAUAUUCACGUACAGCAAAUAAUACUCGUCUAUUUCAUUCAAACAUGAACAUACAUGUACAGAGAUAUUUAAAAAUGGAAGAAGAAACCAAAUUAAAGCCUGUGCAAACACACCGCCCGACAGCAACACAUGACAUGUAAUCCUAGUUUCUUUUUCUCCAUCAUUUUCCACUGAAGUGAAUAUUAGUGUAAGCUUAUGACAUAUCCGUUUUCUCUCACCUCUUUUUCUCUCACUUCCUUCUUCCCGUCUCCCUUCUGUCUACGACCUGUUGCAUACACUUCACGCAUUCUAUGUCAGCUCUCGCAGCAAACUCAGCUGUGAGAUCUGAGAGACACACGAAUAGUGAGAGCUGACGUGCAAAUCCUCUCUGCUCAAAUACUCUUUGCCGUAUAUACAUGUGAACGCACAGUUCUACCCUAAAAACAAACUCAUUGUGAGUGCAUCACGUCAGAAAAUGAGUUUUUAAAAUCAGCUUUUUGUUUCAGAUAACCUCUUACAUUUUUAGAUAAUUAGGAUUUAUAAAUGUAUCUGUUACACAUUAAUACUUACAGCAAGUGUUCGGUUGCAUAGUCAAAAAAUGUUAUAUCACUUCAAGUCUGUCAGCUUUCAAAAUAGCCCUCAACCUUAUCUUAAUGAGGGCAAUGAAGUGGAUUAUGAUUCCUAUGGUACAGCCUAAACUGUACCCUCUGAAAGGGUGAGAAGCUCAGACAGUUGGAGUUAGCUUGAAGUGGAGUCACUGCUCCUUUGUAGCAUGAAAAGAAGUCAAAUUAAGUGAUUCAGACAUCUACUUGUAAUGGCUCCUGGGAGUGGGAGGGGGCACUAGGGUAGACUGGAGACUCGAUCUCCAGUGAGUCUCUUUUUGCAAGCCACACUGAGCUGAAGGGCCACUGAAUGGCGGUGUAGCGCUGGUUCAUGUGUGGCUGCACCAAAGAAAAACAGCACAAGGACUAAGAUGGUGGAGUUCAUCUGCAUGCUGAGAAACUCACUGGAGAGACAGCUGACUCCACUAAAGUGUAAUUUAGCUGUCACCAAGUGUUUGGCUUAAACUUGCAGAGGAGCACCUUAAACUGUAUUGUUUAUCAAUUCAUUUAACAAUGCACACAUGCAUGUCUGCAUGUCUGCAUACCGUACUGUAAUAGCACCUAAUCUUUAGGAAACACCGAGUCAAAAUGUAUCUACAAACGUUGACACAAAGGUACGCUAAAUUUAACUUCCUUUACAAAUGAUCCCAAACACUUGUGUAGGAUUCCUUGGAUCAUUUUGACAUUCCCUUCCUUGCAACAGGCUAUUCCUGCAUGCUCUUACCAGACUCAUGUUUAGGAGCAUCUUAUUCAGGGUUCAUGGGUUUGGCUGUUUGUCUUCAAACAAGAAGGUGCUUAGCCUUAAUUCAACUGUUUCACAGCUUCCAGUUACAGAUCUUAAAUGGGCUCUUCUGGAUCUGCAGAAAAGAAAACAGCAGGAUGUGCAUGAGUGCUCUAAGGUGCUGGAUGUGUGGGAAGAUGUGCGAUUCCCAGCAACACCAGGAAAAAAAUGCCGCUUUAAACUACGCAGAUCUGUGUCCGCUCGGGAGGAACACUGCAGCAGUGUGAGAGACCUCGCACACUACUGCAAAAGAGGAUGGAUAUUAAUCUCUGACAUGAAGUAUUUAUAACUUGAAAGCCAAGAACAACAACAUGACACGAAAUGCCUCCUUAAUUUAUUAAACUGCUGGCAGAGUGUGGAGACUGGGAGCUGGAAUUAGUGUUGACUAUAGCAUGUUUUUAAAACACGGGGUAACCUCAACAUGAUGACAGUUUAACAAAACUAUGUCCAAUUUAAAACAACAAAAAAAAAAACAACAACAGCAAAAAAUAAAAAAAAUAAAAUCACUGUUUUUAAGUUAAUUUAAUUACUGAUGUUCGACACCAGAUUUACUUGUAAUUUGACAUUGUAAACCAUAAACACAAACAGAUGGAUCAACAUAAAUCUUCCCCAUUUGUGGACCACAAAGAAGAGAAAUUAUAAAGAGGAAGAAAUGACUAAAAGGCUAAUGGCAGAAGAAGGAGGAGCUCUGGCAAGACAAAGCUGAAACAAAA
Oreochromis niloticus (Nile tilapia) is the source of this 8048-nucleotide long non-coding RNA. RefSeq lists it as uncharacterized. The transcript has 2 exons. NCBI's taxonomy places the organism in Eukaryota, Metazoa, Chordata, Actinopteri, Cichliformes, Cichlidae. The record is from RefSeq and is a predicted model, not a curated record.